This 349-nucleotide ribosomal RNA is filed under the name uncultured bacterium. Its description in RNAcentral is "bacterial SSU rRNA". It matches the Rfam family "Bacterial small subunit ribosomal RNA", at positions 28 to 372 of the family's 1533-position model. The record is from RNAcentral.
GAUGAACGCUAGCGGCAGGCUUAAUACAUGCAAGUCGUGGGGCAGCAUGAGUAGCAAUACUUGAUGGCGACCGGCAAACGGGUGAGGAACACGUACACAACCUUCCUUCAAGCGGGGAAUAGCCCAGAGAAAUUUGGAUUAAUACCCCAUAAUAUAUUUGAUAAGGCAUCUUAUUAAUAUUAAAGCUUCGGCACUUGAUGAUGGGUGUGCGGCUGAUUAGAUAGUUGGCGGGGUAACGGGCCCACCAAGUCUACGAUCAGUAGCUGAUGUGAGAGCAUGAUCAGCCACACGGGCACUGAGACACGGGCCCGACUCCUACGGGAGGCAGCAGUAAGGAAUAUUGGACAAU